This 95-nucleotide transfer RNA is filed under the name Coregonus baunti. RNAcentral's name for it is "tRNA-Leu". The stretch from base 1 to 75 matches the Rfam family "tRNA". Rfam says of the family: Transfer RNA (tRNA) molecules are approximately 80 nucleotides in length. Their secondary structure includes four short double-helical elements and three loops (D, anti-codon, and T loops). The record is from RNAcentral. Lineage: Eukaryota; Metazoa; Chordata; Actinopteri; Salmoniformes; Salmonidae.
GCUAAGGUGGCAGAGCCCGGUAAUUGCGAAAGGCCUAAGCCCUUUUUCUCAGAGGUUCAAACCCUCUCCUUAGCUAUGAUCACGAGCCUAAUCAC